AACGAACGCUGGCGGCAGGCCUAACACAUGCAAGUCGAGCGCCCUUUCGGGGGAGCGGCGGACGGGUGAGUAACGCGUGGGAAUAUGCCCUUCUCUACGGAAUAGCCUCGGGAAACUGAGAGUAAUACCGUAUACGCCCUGUGGGGGAAAGAUUUAUCGGGGAAGGAUUAGCCCGCGUUGGAUUAGGUAGUUGGUGGGGUAAUGGCCUACCAAGCCGACGAUCCAUAGCUGGUUUGAGAGGAUGUUCAGCCACACUGGGACUGAGACACGGCCCAGACUCCUACGGGAGGCAGCAGUGGGGAAUCUUAGACAAUGGGGGCAACCCUGAUCUAGCCAUGCCGCGUGAGUGAUGAAGGCCUUAGGGUUGUAAAGCUCUUUCAGCUGGGAAGAUAAUGACGGUACCAGCAGAAGAAGCCCCGGCUAACUCCGUG
RNAcentral lists this ribosomal RNA (431 nucleotides) under uncultured bacterium. RNAcentral describes it as "partial 16S ribosomal RNA". It matches the Rfam family "Bacterial small subunit ribosomal RNA", at positions 29 to 507 of the family's 1533-position model. The record is from RNAcentral.